Rosa rugosa (rugosa rose) is the source of this 4730-nucleotide RNA transcript. RefSeq lists it as uncharacterized. The record is from RefSeq and is a predicted model, not a curated record. Lineage: Eukaryota; Viridiplantae; Streptophyta; Magnoliopsida; Rosales; Rosaceae. The transcript has 17 exons.
AAAAUCAAAGAAAUUUCCCUCCACUCUCUCUCCCGCUCCAGUGUGACAGUCACUGCUUCGUGCUCAAAUCCCAAACUGGAAACCCUAAAUUGCCCAACCUCUCUCUCUCUCUCUCUGCAAUUCCUCCAUUUCCGAUGGCCUCCAAGACCCCCGACGAGCCUUGCAUCUCCGAGACCGAGGCAGAGACAAUAGCCAUGAGAAUCAAGAGGAAACGCUCCCGGCGCGUGAGCUUCGCCGACACUGAGAUCACCUCCGUCCACAUAUUCAACCGCGACGAGGAGGACUCCGACAACGCUCCCGACUCCGAACCCCAGUCCAGCUCUCUAAACGACUCCGCCGAGCCGGAUAAUGGUGCCGUAGGGUUUUUCAAGGAUGUCGGCGGCGAAAGCGACGAUUUCAAGGAUUCCGAUGACGACGAGGACGACGACGGAGUCGACGGGAGGAAGUCGUUUUUGAGACCGCUUGGUUCGCCUUCUCCGAUGAGUAGCGUUCCUGGCUCUGCUACCUCCAACAACGAAGAAGAUUUCUUUGGUCCUGUAUCAGCAGAUUUCAUUAGACCCGGACUAUCUGAUUCUGCAGCCUCAGAUAGCUUUCAUGAAACUACAAUGGACACUACCGCAUUUUCAUUGCAUUAUCGUAGUCUUGCAAGGUCAGACUUUGGAGGAGAUCUCAAGACCCCAACGUCUUUUCGCCUUGCCUUUGAAGAGAAGACACCAACCCCUAACCCCAGUGAUUCAGGAAGUCUUAUGUCUCUAACGAAACCAAAGAAUCUAACUCCUCAGUCUUCGGUUCCAGUUGAUAAGGUCAGAAGCGGUGAAGAUUCGAAUGACAUGAGUAUUAUAGAAGAGAACCCACAUAGGUAUGAUUAUGGAAGACUAUCUCCUAAAUUAGAUGCACUUUUGGCAGAAGGUAGCAAGGAUCUGCAUGCUGACUCAGUUACUGCCUCUAUUAGCAUAAUGCCAUCCAAGAGAAGUGAGGUUACUGUGUUGGAAAAAAAUGGAAUUGGCCACAUGGAUCUAAGAGAUGGUAGGAGUACUGAAAUGGGCAAUUUUGGCACUCAUGAGAUGUCCACUGACUCAGCAUCUAAUUCUCGUAUCAAGUUGAGUGAGGCAAAUGGUCUGGUUGCUGGUGACUCCAUUGACGACCAAAUCCAGACUCCAAAUCAGUUAAUGAAGGUCAGUAACGAACUCACUAAAGAUAAAUUUCAAAAGGGUAUGGAGAGUUUAGAGUUACCUGCUGCGAAUGGCGACCUCGUAGCAAAUGUCAAUAGUAAAGCAACUAAAGCUCUAGAAAAUUCUCCCAAGGACAGAAGAUAUAAUACUAAUAUUGAUCCUCAUUCUGAUAAGGAGAGGUCCAUAUUCAUGUUAUCUGCUAGAGGACAGCAGUCAAUUAUGAAUACUCCUAAUUUAGCAAGACAUUCAGGGACAGUAACUCCUUCCUCAAAACAUAAAGAUUGGUAUCCAGCAAUUCAGAAAAGCAUUUCCAGGUUAAGAAUUCCAGAGCCUUCUCCCCGUGCUUCUAGUCUCAAAGAUGGAAUUGAGAAAUUAAGAUGUAGAUUGUCAAGUCACUCAUCCCCAAAUGCUCCUUUAAGUACUGUUAUGGCUGACAUUAGCAAAGAUCUGCAACGUGACUUUAACAAAUCUCCUACUGCUUUUUUGGAGAAGCAAGUACAAGUAGGUGAUCUGGAGAAGGGGGGACAGAAGAGUUUGGUUAACACAGGUACAGAUGACAAUGAGAACCCAGUUAACAUCCGUAAGUUGGGGAAGGAUGAAAACUCUACAGACACUGCAAAAGAUGAAGCAUCUCUGAACAUGUUUGCAGACACUAUUUUGAAGGAUAAACUUGACAGACCAAUAGAAGAAGUGGCUCCACCCUCUCAGCUGUCAGUAUCUGGAAGUAAAAUGACCCAGCAUCUCUUGAUGUCAGAAAAUAACACAAAAGGAACAAUGGUUUCUUCUGGAACUGAUUGCCUAUUGGCAGAUGAGCGAGAAGAGAAUCUUCCCCAUGUGCAACUUCAAUCAGAAAAUAACUUCCAAACUCCUUUAAGUGGUGCAGGCAUUCUGAACAUUCAAUUGCAAAGUCCAGAUAAAAGAUUUCAACCUGGACUAGAACCCCAGUCUAAACCAUAUGUCUCCAGAAGUAUGACUGAACCAUCCCUUCAGAGCCCUCCUCCUAAAGACUCAGCUCUGAACAACUCCAUGGAAGGGCCAUCUAAGAGUCCACCCAGGAAAAGGCAAACUCCAAGUCCUCCCUUGAGAAAUACCCCUCGGAGUCCCCUCAGGGAAGAGCCAAGUCAGAGUCCCUGCAGGAAAGAAACAGCUAGGAGUCCUUCCAGGAAAAAGCUUACUGAGAGUCUUUCUUGGAAAGAGCCAAUUCAGCCGUUCAUAGAAGAGCUUAUUGGUAGUCCCAUUGAGAAAGAACUGAACCAUAGUCUCUUUCUGAAAGAGCUAACACUAAGCCCCUUCAGGCCAUCUUAUGCAGAACACAUAGAUAAUAUGGGACCUGUUGGGAAAGACAUGGUAUCUUCUGAGUUAAAUUCAAAUAAUCAUCCUAAUGAUGAUUGUUAUCAGGGACUACAUAUUUCACAGAGUCCUCUUACCAAACAAGAUGCAGAUAAUUCUUUUGGACGUAAAAGAAGAAACCUAGGCAUAACUCUCCAGGAUGGAGACUGUACAGAUAAGAUCCCCGACAGCCAGAGAAGUUCUAAAAUUCAUAGAAGUGAGAACUAUGAUCUCCAGUUCAUGUUGGGUCAUGCAAGUACACUUCACAGUGACAGAGAGAAGUAUGGUGGUGAAUCGGGUGGUGAUACAAUUUGGGAGAGCUGGACUGAUAUUCUAGUCAAAUUCUCAGGAGAUUCAGAACAGUUGCUUUCUCCAUUGACAAGCAACCUAAAUUUAAAAGCGAUUGGGGUGCUGGAAGAUAUCUUGAUACAUCUAUUGAAGGCUAAAAAGUAUGAGACGCUUUGUGCUGAAAUCGAAUCUCAGAAGGUCAGCUGCAUCAGUGCUGGGCAUAAAAGGGUAGCUGAAGCAAGGUUGCUGCUUUAUAGAUUAGCGAAUGAAAAGGCAAAGUUGCAGUUAAUGCAUUUGAAGCACCAGAAAUUACAGAGUAGGGUACAGCUCUUAAGCUCUGCAGUUCAGGAGUCUCAAAUGCUGAAGUUGAACUUCAUCCAGUGUCAGUCUGAAGCUGGUAAAGAAGAGACUCUUGUUGAUGAGAGUCGGUCAUGUUUAGUUAAUCAUGUGGGUGAACAAGAGGCUCCCUGUGAUAAUGUGAGCACAAUGAGACAAGAGCUAAGAGCUUCAGAUGAGAAAAUAAAAAGUUUAAGCAAAUUCUUUCACUCUCAUAUCAAGUUUAAAGGAGAACCAAGUUAUGCCAACACUAUUGCACUAGUUCAUGAUCAUCUGAAGACAAGAACAUUCUGCAGGUUAAUACGUCAGGAGUUACAGUCAUGGGAUGUUGAUGAAUUUGAGAUUAAGAAUGGUCAUUACAACAUUCUUCUCAGCUAUCAUGGUUACAUCAUUCAAAGGUUUACUGGUAAUAUGGGUCCAACAUCACGCAUAGUCAUCUCAAAAAAGUUGAAUAAUGUAAAGAUCAUGAAGGCCUUCCCGAACAUAGAUGCCCUAGUUGCAUUUGAUUUUGUGCUAGAUGCUGAGGCCACCAAAGAAAUGUUUGAUUCAAGAUGUUUGGCGGAAGAAACACAAGUUACCCGUUCACAGCUAUGUAAUCUGCUAGACGUGGCUGAGGAAGUGCAGCUGGCUCGAUUUGAGAUUGUAAAUUUGAUCCAGACAAGCUUUCAUACUCCAUCCGAUGAUCAGCUUGAUCUGCAGCUUUGUUUCCUUAAUUGUAAGAGCAGUAGAAAGGUCACACUGUCUCUCGAUAUGACAUGUUUGAAGAGGGGGGUUUAUCCUUCAGAGAUCCUUCCAUAUCAGAUACAGGCUUUUGAAUCUGCAGCACAAGUGUUGCUUCCACAGUCGCUCUUAACUGAAAUAAGAGCUGCAGCAGAGGGUCUUGAACCUGGAUCCACAAGGAUAAUGAGGCUCUGUAAAUGUAUUUCCCAGGUGGUAUAAUCUUCACACUGGAAUUUUCUGGUUUCUUUUUCAGUCGGUUUAGUCCCACGUGAUUUCCUAAGAGGGGGCCAAAGGUGGCACCAACAAAGAGUUGGACUUUUUCGAUUGCUUUCCCGGCCAUCUUUUUCUCUUUGGAUAGUGAGGUGUCCUAAUUGCUCUUGUAUAUUUAGCUGAAGAUAUUUUGGUAACCCUGUAGCUGAGUCCUCUUUGUAAUUAGAUUCUGUUGCCGGAGCUACGAACUAAUAAUUUCAUCAUGGUGCGCCUGAUGCAAGAUCUAGGGGAUUUGCUAUUCCCCCCUUUGUUGUGGUGGUCAACAUUUCUCUUUUUGCUGGACUUCUCUCAUAUGCUGGUGUUUGGUGUUUUCUCAUUUAUCAAAUAUGAUUGCCCAGGCUUGAAGGGGACACGUGGCAUGUUGUGAGAAAGGUCAGUUGGGUAAAUAUCUAACUUGCUACAAGUAUAAAGAUAAGGAAAAAGGGCUGCACUUUUUAGUGAAAGUGGGGUUGAAUCUCACAUGUCUCUUCCCUGUCAUUGAUCCAACUGGCGUUUUUGAUUGAUUGCGAUCACAAUUGUAAUGCCUUAUCUGCUUUGUUCACUACAAAAUACCAUCUUAGCUGCACUCAGCCCAUAUCUUCUAUAUUCUCCACUAUAAUCUAUGACUCGACACAU